AUUCCUGGGUUUGCUGGGCUAGAACUGGCUAGAGAGGGCACAGCAAGAGGCAGGCUUCACCUUGCACUCCCUCCUGUUCGGGUGCCAGGCCAUUGUCCCACCCAGUCUUGUCCACCCUGAGCAGGCUUUCAAAGGGAUAGAAAAAGAAAGUCUUGCAUGUUUGUUUAAGGGGAAAAAUGUGGGGCAGGGAGCGGGCGUGCAGCCCAGUGUUAGCGCCAGGGCCCUUUCACAGCUGCACCUGCAGAGCUGGGGCAGGACUGGGCAGGAACCAGGGUCCUGGGGAGAGGUGGGUCUGUGUCUGCUGGACCCAGGUCUGAGGGGGUUUGGGCCCCAGGAAAGGCCAGGAAGGGCAUUUGUGUGUUCUGGGGAGCAGCUGCGGAGAGCUCCCCAGAGGGAAGAAGCAGAAGGACUUGAGGCCCAAGCACCUGGUGCUAGUCCUCUGGACAUCCCAGCCACUUUUGCUGCGACUUGGUCCUCCCGGCCUGGGGGAGGCAGCCACCUCCUGGCUCCUUUCUGCUGGAAAAGCUCUGUCACCCACCCAGGCUGUGUGACCUCAGGGGAUGUCUGAGCAUCUCUAACCUGCAGGAGUGGGGCCAAGGGGCCUCUUAUCAGGCUCUCCCACUCUGAUGUCCAAGAACAGAUAAGGCCAUUCUCUACCUCCUGCCUUACCUUAUCCCCUUGGCCUCAGGGUACACCAGUGGAGGGGAGGUGGGGCUGCCUGGUGGUUCAGCCUCAAGCUCUGGGAGGUUCAAAUCCCAGCUCCCCCACUUCCUGACUUCGUGGGACCGAGAGCAGGUAGCUUAAACUCUGUGAACUUGUUUCCUCAUCUGUGCGACGAGGAUAAUGGAAACAGUCCCUGCCUUCUAGAACUAGAUAGGCAUAGAAAUUGCUCAGCAUAGUGCCUGGCACACAUAAAGUGCUUCCCUGCUGGCCGAAUCUUUUGGGGACACCUCUUGAGCUAGCAUUCAGUGAUGCCAAGCACAAUUAGUCCCAAAGCAAAAGGAAGUCAUUUAUGAAUUAUCCCCUGAUGCUUUUGUCAGCCGUUUUUUAGUUUGGGGAAGAAUAUUUGGUGUGGCUUCACCCUCCCCAUCCCCAGACAUAUGUGCACCGAUGCACACCCACGUACAGGAAAUUGAGAGCAGGUGGUGGAAGCCUCUCUCUAGGCAGGGCUGCACUCUCCCAUUCAUUCACUCAACACAUCUUUACCAACCAACUUCUGUGUAGCACUGGGGAGACCAUGAUGAGUGACACAGGGCCUCUGCCCUCCCAGAGCCUGCAGUCUAGUGAGGAGCCCUAGGCCAGGAGCAGGAGGCAGGGAGACUAAGCCUGAGGCGAUGGAAGCACGGGCUCACAGAGGUGGCAUCCGACCCAGAUGGAGGGCUCAGGAAAGGCUUUUUGGGAAAGUGACAUGUGAGCUGAAACUUGGAGGAUGCUUGAGUUAGCCUCAUAAAGGAUGUGUGUGCGUGGAGUGUCUCAGGCGGAGGGAACGGCACGUGCCGAGGCCUGGAGGUUUGGUGUGUGGGUGUAUCGGAAGGAAGGAAUGUGUUGAAAGAGGAGGAGGUGGGGUGAGGUGAGGCUGAAAGGUAGGCCAGCUCCUGCGGGGCCUCGGAAGCCAUUGAGGAACCUGGGUUUUCUCUGGAGGGCGG
This 1646-nucleotide long non-coding RNA is filed under the name Homo sapiens (human). Its description in RNAcentral is "HSALNT0386336". The record is from RNAcentral. Lineage: Eukaryota; Metazoa; Chordata; Mammalia; Primates; Hominidae.